CCAGAGAACUUAGCAGAGAUGCUUUGGUUCCUUCGGGAACUCUGAGACAGGUGCUGCAUGGCUGUCGUCAGCUCGUGUUGUGAAAUGUUGGGUUAAGUCCCGCAACGAGCGCAACCCUUAUCCUUUGUUGCCAGCGGUCCGGCCGGGAACUCAAAGGAGACUGCCAGUGAUAAACUGGAGGAAGGUGGGGAUGACGUCAAGUCAUCAUGGCCCUUACGAGUAGGGCUACACACGUGCUACAAUGGCGCAUACAAAGAGAAGCGACCUCGCGAGAGCAAGCGGACCUCAUAAAGUGCGUCGUAAUCCGGAUUGGAGUCUGCAACUCGACUCCAUGAAGUCGGAAUCGCUAGUAAUCGUAGAUCAGAAUGCUACGGUGAAUACGUUCCCGGGCCUUGUACACACCGCCCGUCACACCAUGGGAGUGGGUUGCAAAAGAAGUAGGUAGCUUAACCUUCGGGAGGGCGCUUACCACUUUGUGAUUCAUGACUGGGGUGAAGUCGUAACAAGGUAGGCGUAGCGAG
RNAcentral lists this ribosomal RNA (521 nucleotides) under uncultured bacterium. Its description in RNAcentral is "bacterial SSU rRNA". It matches the Rfam family "Bacterial small subunit ribosomal RNA", at positions 988 to 1509 of the family's 1533-position model. The record is from RNAcentral.